ACGGAAGGCAGCAGUGGGGGAUAUUGCACAAUGGGGGAAACCCUGAUGCAGCGACGCCGCGUGAGUGAUGAAGUAUUUCGGUAUGUAAAGCUCUAUCAGCAGGGAAGAAAAUGACGGUACCUGACUAAGAAGCUCCGGCUAAAUACGUGCCAGCAGCCGCGGUAAUACGUAUGGAGCAAGCGUUAUCCGGAUUUACUGGGUGUAAAGGGAGCGUAGACGGCGUGGCAAGUCUGAUGUGAAAGCUAUGGGCUCAACCCAUAAACUGCAUUGGAAACUGUCAUGCUAGAGUGUCGGAGAGGUAAGCGGAAUUCCUAGUGUAGCGGUGAAAUGCGUAGAUAUUAGGAGGAACACCAGUGGCGAAGGCGGCUUACUGGACGAUAACUGACGUUGAGGCACGAAAGCGUGGGGAUCGAACAGGAUUAGAUACCCUGGUA
This 434-nucleotide ribosomal RNA is filed under the name uncultured Ruminococcus sp. RNAcentral's name for it is "partial 16S ribosomal RNA". It matches the Rfam family "Bacterial small subunit ribosomal RNA", at positions 341 to 792 of the family's 1533-position model. Lineage: Bacteria; Bacillati; Bacillota; Clostridia; Eubacteriales; Oscillospiraceae. The record is from RNAcentral.